This 8058-nucleotide long non-coding RNA is filed under the name Sorghum bicolor (sorghum). RNAcentral's name for it is "long non-coding RNA (SBIC_LNC004845)". The stretch from base 6021 to 6112 matches the Rfam family "Plant small nucleolar RNA R71". The record is from RNAcentral. Lineage: Eukaryota; Viridiplantae; Streptophyta; Magnoliopsida; Poales; Poaceae.
CGAAUCCAGAGCGUAGUGCUCUACUUCUCUAAUUGCUAUCUAAUCAACCUCUAAACUUGAAGGAUUAGGGAGUAGCUAAUUCUAAUUCUCUGUGGGAGAGAAGCUCUAAACCCUAACUUUGGUGGCUACCUCUGAAUAAUGAUUUCUCCUCUCUCCUCCAGGGGCCAGGGGGUCUGGUUUUAUAGUCCCCUCAAGUGAACGUGAGCCAUUGGAUCAAACCGACAUAGAUUGUAUGGUUUAGAUUGAUCCUUUAGGUCGGUGGAGUGUAGUCCCAAAGCAGAGUCCUGAUUGGCGUCCUGGCCAGGGCGGGCGCCCAAGAGGGGUGGGCGGGCGCCCAGCCCCCGAGCCCGAAUUGCUUCCCGUUCGUUCCCGUGGCUUCUGGACCCUUCUAGAUCAAGGAAAAUUGCGCGGCACGUAAUUAUCUCGUUGUAAACAUGACAUGUGGGCCUUCUCUCCCUAUUUUCUGAUAAACCCCUGUAGAAAUAGAUAAACACCAAAGCUCGUGGAAUUCUGUCAGAUAAAACCCUAAUUCUAGAUGUUUGUUUCAUAUUGAUCCUUUUUCAUGUUUAUUUGAUUAUUAAUUUUAGUACUUAAGGACCGUCAACAAACUCCCCCAAGCUUACCCUUUGCUCGUCCCUGAGCAAAUAGCUAAACUCAGACGGAUCAGAAGUUGCUUCGAUGUUUUCUUUCCUCACAGGCACACAUGCUUUUACAUAAAAAUUCUUCCAGAUUAGAGUGAAGUGUUAUGAAGUUUAGUACCUGUACUGAAGUCUUAAGUAAUCGAAAGACAAAAUAGUUAAGUCAAGCACUAUCCCUCCAGUCUAUACUUCACCUUUGUUCUAGAGUUUUUCAUAAGUUUUCAAAAUAAAACUCAGAGUUCCCAGCAAUGAUUCUCUCAAGUCUCUCUAUAUGUGGUAUUUGUGGAUCCUUACCAUAAUGUCACUUACCUAUAGCUAAUGGAAUAUUUAAGUGGAGCUCAUAGGAGUGGAAAACAGCUCAUACAUAUGUUGUCUAAUUGAGCCAUGGAUCCAAAGGAACUCAGCAUAUAAUUAAAUCAAGAUGUGCAUGUGUGAUGGAGUAAAUGAUAGUGAAAAUGCAUUAGUGAUAAUAAAACUUAGUUCUCAUUGUUCCUUAUAUUGCUAUCCCUCCUCUUCUUUGAUCUUUGCUUUGGGAGAACAUGGGCUAUCUUUUUCUCUUCUCUCUCUCUUUUUUUUCAGGUGGGUAGUAGAUAUCCCUAAUUCUACUGUUGGACACUUGUCCAUUUUUUCCGCUCAAGUGGGCAUCUUUGUACCCCUAAUUCUACUUCGGACACUUGUCCAUUUUUACCUCUCAUCUCACUCUUUUUUUUCCGAGGUUCCGGGCACUUGCCCCUUUUUAUUUCCUCGUAUAUUUUUGCAUAACCCAUGCCUCUUCUACAUUGAAUCUUCUUAGAGAGAGAGUAUAACAAUAUUCGGGACAGUGAGUGAAAAUAUUUUUUAGCAAUUUUAAUGAUUGGUGAUGAAUGCUGUGGUAGAUGUGUGCAAGUGAAUAUCUUAAUUUAACCAUAUGAAAAGCUCCUAAGGGUCUACACAGCUCGAUCAAACUCAAUGUGAAUAUAGUAAAAGAUGUUAUAGUAAGUAUGGCUGUGGUAGGUAAUUUUGUUAUGCUAGGAACUCAUCAUGUGAUUUGUAAGUUUUCAAAAAUAAAUCUCUAGAACUUGGUGUAGUAGGAACAAGAUAAACAGUAGCUCAACUUUAUAUCAUGCCUUUCUCUUACCUAGACUUUAGUUUUAUGCUUCCCAAAGAUAGUAAUUUUAGUUUUAGUAAUUCCUGGAAGAAUUCUAAUAUAAAAGCUAGGUACUUGUAAGUAAGCAAACAGAGCAACUGUUCAUCAUUUCCAUCAUGCAUAUUUUUGGUCUUUUUAUUAUUAUUAUUUUUUUAGAAAUUAAAAUAAAGCACACUUAUCUAUACACUCUUUUUAUUUUGUUUUCAUGUUUAUAAAGUGCAGUAAAUUAAAGCAAGAAAAUAUUUAUUUGGUUUUCUAAGUUUUUCUUUUUUAAGAUGAAUUAAAAUACUAAAAUAGAAAAGAAUAAAUAAGAAGAGCAAAUAAAAACUUACUUGAUAAAUUGAGGAGGAACUCCCCCAAGCUGGAUGUUGAUGUCGGUCUUACCCGAAGUUCCAGAACCGCAUCAUGGUUGUGAUGUUAUUGUUCAUUGUUGUUGUAUCUUGUCUCAGCUCUUCUACUGCAGCGGCAUGGUCCUGGUCCCAUUUUUGUUGCUCUUCCAGGAGUCUUCCAUGUUCUGCUUGCGUGUUCUGGAUGUCGAGGAGGGUGUUGUCGGUACGAGUGAAGAAAGCACCGGCCUCUUGAUAGUAGUCAUUCGUGAAGGCGUAGGAGGCGUGGGAGUAUCGUCCUGCAUCAAAUUGGGGUGGAGGUCUAGAUCCUGAAGCUCCAUAUGGAUCAGUGGAGUACCUGCCCGUAUGAAAAGGCGGGUUUGUCCACUGGUGAUCUUGGCUCUCCGGCCAUGUCUCUUCUGUUCGCUCUUGUGGUUGCGCAUGACGAGCCCACGGGUCUCGAAGGACUCGUGGAUUGUAAUCGCAAUAAUGCAGGUGCGCUGCUUCUUCUGGUCCAGGGUCAGCUCCAUACCAAGUGCGUUCUCGGUGAGUGGUUAUCCUUUCAGAUGCCACUCGCUGUGGAGUUCUCUGGUUCACUGGUGUUGCUGCAAUCUCAAUCAAAAAGUUUUGCACAGCGUAGAGGCCAAGAUUCGGGUUAGGUAACCGAAUCUUGCCUUUAUCAUCAUAUAGCCUAUACAUUAUAUUUCCCUCUUUCUUUAACAUCCGAGCUUGUCUAAAUGUGUCAUAGCCUAUGAAGUCCAAUGAUGAGUUUUCUAGUAAGUGAAGAUUAGUGGCUAGACGAGUGAUAAGUGAAGUACAUCCUACUGGUCCCUGCAGACUAGGUAUACUAAGCCAAUGUGAAACUAAAAUAGCAGCAUAUAAAAGUUGUAAAUCUCCUACUCUUACUUUCCUAAUAUCGUCACGAUAGAAAAGAUUGUACCCAAGCCAUUUGUGAAACAUCCUAAGAGUGGGGUGUUCCAUGUCACUGGUUCGGGCUUGACUAUAAAAAUUAUCUCUAGAUAUUUCUCUCCAAAACUGGUGUCUCUCAAAAUUGGGUAAAUCGGAGUCAAUGUUUAGGAUGCAUCUUGAAGAGAAACCAAGAUGGUCGCUCAGCUCUCUCCAAGAUAACAUAAUUUCCUGUUUAAACAUCCGAAAAGCAAUUCCCCCCUCAUAGUAUUGUAAAGUGCAAAGAAAUUCGAGGGUGAGAAGACGAGAACCUAGCUCAGUUAUAUUCCAAAAAUUUGUCCAACCCAUCAUUUGAAAAAUUAAGUCAAAUUCAGUGUCCAUACCUGUUUCUCGUAGUAGGAUUGGAUCGAUAGUAGGGGUGUGAAUAAAAUCUUUGUUCUUCAACUGCUGAUAGACUUCCUUCUCUCUUCGGGUCUUCAGUCCAAGGUCUCCUAUCUUGAGAAGGACCUUAACUUGCUGACCUGAUGAAGAUGAUGGCGCUUGUGUGGGUGUCGGGUCGACGCUCAUCUCUGAUGGCUGUGAGGAGUGUCGGGUUGAACUCCUUGUACCAAUGUUCUUAAGAGCCUUCCCUGCAUUCUUCACCUUCUUAAACAUCCUGCAAACAAAAGUUGGCAAAAACACAACUGGUGGAAGCUGUGAGAUAAAAUGUUAGUGGUCAGCUGUCCGGAGUGCCAGUAGUCCAGGGGUUAAUCGUUCAAGACAAGUUUCUAUUUUGGUAGAGCCUCCCCCUAAACAACUUUUACUUCUGCUUAGACAACGGGAUCACUACUUGCUAGGUGACAAUCACUCUCUCAAAAGAACUCCAACCUUCCCUUCCACUCUCCUCUUUCUCUCUACUCUCUUCUCUUCACUACAAAAGCUCCUUCUCGGGAAACUGAGAUUUGUGUGGUUUUCUGAAGUGUUUGUGUGAAGAGAUGGGAAACUGGAGGUGGCCUUUUAUAGGCUGAGCAGGGGACAGGGCAGGCGAACAAGGUAGGUGGGUGGGCGCCCACCCCUGGUGUCCAUCCUGGGUGUGCCUCCUCCGCAUGCUUCCUUGCUUUGAUCUCACGCAGAAUAAUAUUAUGUUGGUGGUGGUUGGACGGUGGAAAGAUGUCAAGUGAGUGGAAACAUAUUGGUGGAUGAAAUUAUGUGAUGGGAUGUAUGUGAGAUGAAGUGUAUGACAUGUGGGACCCAGGGAGUGUGGGUCAUGCUUCUAGAAGAUUACUAUAAUAUAAUGUAAUGCAGGAAAAUCUAUGAGAAUUGAAACUUAAUGAAAAUGAUAUUGGAAAAUAUUUUUUUUGUGCCUCCACAAUAAUAAAUAUGGGUUGUUACAUACCAUGAAUAUUAUUUAUAUGGGGCUUUUUGAUUAUAAUUAUGCUAUGACUAAUGCAAGAAUUAAUUAUGCAAGAAUUUAAACAUGAGAAUAUUAAUAGUGCGGAUAAAUACCGAUUUACCUUCCGGUGAGGGUUUGGGAUUUUUAGGUCCCCCAAGCUGGACCUCCAAAUCUUUUAAUCUUCUGAGUUUCCUUCCUCCGGAGAUGGUGUCUCCAGUGGUUCUUCAUGAACUUCCUUCACUGUAGAGUCUCUCUCUGGUCUGGGUUUGAAUGUGAAGUGUUCUUCUUGACCGUUUAUGUUGAACUUGAUUUCUCCUUUUCCGACAUCAAUGUGGGCAUUGGCAGUGCUCAGAAAUGGCCUUCCAAGGAUGAUGGACACUUUCGAGUCAGGACUCAUGUCCAGUACUACGAAGUCUACUGGCACCAGGAAAUCUCUGAUCUUGACUGGAAUGUUCUCGGCGAUGCCCAACGGGUGUCAAACCGAUUGAUCCGCUAGUUGUAGGCACAUUGAUGUUGGUUCUAAGGUUGCAUGAUCAAGCUUUUUGUAGACUGAUGCUGGCAUCACACUGACACUUGCUCCGAGAUCACAAAGUGCAUUAUUGAAGUGUUGGUUUCCAAUUGAGCAAUCAAUAGUGGGACAUCCAGGAUCUUCCUUCUUCUUUGGUGGUUUAUUGAGGAUGGCCGCACUACAUUCUUCUGUCAGUUUGAUAACCUCAGUGGUGUGCAGUGGUCUCUUCUUGUUAAGAAUAUCUCUGAUGUACUUUGCAUAUGUAGGUACCUGUACGGCAUCUAGCAGAGGUAUAUUGACAUAUAAUUUCUGAAUGACCUCUACAAACUUACCAAACUGCUCAUCCGACUGCAGUCCUCUGUUUCUUCUGGGAAAUGGCAAAUAGUUGGUGUCAUAAAAAUCUUUCCUCAUUUCUCUAGUUCUUGGUGGUUGUAGCAGAUCUUCUGCUUCAACUGGGCUUUCUUCUUCUAUCACUGCUGGUUGCACUGGUGCUGAUGUUCUUUGUUUCUCUUUUGGGUAUGGUGGAUCUCUGGUAGCUUUGCCUCCUCUAGUAGUUAUAUUCUUUACCUGCUCAAGGUUAGUAGCAACAGGCAGUGCAGCAGCUAACUUUAUUAAUUUAAGCUCUACCCUUUUAUUAAGAGUGUUUUGCUCAUCAAAGGCAGUUAGUAGAAAAUCCAUUUUAUUGUGUAUAUCUUUUAGAGAUGAUUCAUUUGUAUCUAGCCUUUGUUUAACUUCAUCAUUGAUUUUGGUUUGUUGAGCAAUUAUCUCUUUUAAUGAAAGUUGUUUGACAGUAUUACCUGAAUUCAUACCUUUGCUAUUGGGUUGACUCGAAGUUGGUUGAUAUUUGUAUGCUGUCUCAAUGGCCCUUUGAUCUUCUUUGAACUUGGCCCUCUGGUCAAUCCAACGGAGCAAAUUUUCCAUCUUAGUUGAUAAUGCAUUUACUUCUUCCGGUAUUUCUUCAGUUUGAUGACAUUGUUGAGCUUUAUCUUGGAACCAGCUUUAGUUUUCUGCUAUCUUAUCCAAAAGUAUCUCUGCUUUUCCAGUUGUAAGCUCCAAGAAUGAUCCUUUAGCAGAUGCAUCUAGGCACUCACGACUCUUCUGGGUUAAUCCAUGGUAGAAGGUCUGCAUAAGUAACCAUGUGGCCAUUCCAUGGUGAGGACAAUCUGAUAUGUAUCCUUGAAAACGCUCCCAUGCUUCUGAAAUGGCUUCUGUCUUCUGCUGUUGGAAACUGACACUAUUUCCUCUUAAGGCAGUUGUUUUGCCUAUAGGGAAAAACUUUGAUAGAAAGGCAUCUGACAAGUUCGUCCAGUUGUUGAUGUUAUCUUGAUGAGUGUAGAACCACUUCCUCGCUUUUCCUUCUAGUGAGAAUGGAAAAAGGCGAAGCAGUAUGACGUCUUUGUCAACUCCGUUGAUGUGGAUUGUGCUUCCAAUCUCUAAGAAAUUCUGCAAGUGUGCACUAGCAUCUUCAUGUGCCUUUCCACUGAAUUGUGUAGCUUGUACCAAAUUGAUGAGGCUUGACUUGAGCUCAAACUCAGGUAUUCCUUCUUCUACUGCAAAUCUUGGACCAGUUGGAUUGUUCUCAAGGCUUGGAGCAGAGAAUUCUUGCAAGGUCUUUUGUGCCAUAGCUUCAGCAAUUGGUAGCUAGCUUCUUCUUCUCUUGAUUGCUUUGGUUCUGAUGAUGAAGAGUUGAAUGUACCCAAAGUCAAUCCUGUUAUACCCUGUAUAAAAAUAUAAACAUAGAAAAACAACAGGGUGAACCUGCCAAAGCAGAGGUGCCUUGUUAUGAUUUCUCACUUAGUAACUAUUUUAUGAAAUUACUUCUCUAUAGUCUAGUCUAAAGUUUUAUAUGAAAUAACCUUGAUUGAUUUUCUCGCUUUCCUAAGCAUUACCCUUUUGUUCCCUUUUAUGACUUAUUCCUGAGACUCGUAUAAUUAUCCUAUAAGAUCCUAUAAAUUCCUAUAAAUUCCCCGGCAACGGCGCCAGAAAUGCUUGUUGACACUAGCUAACACCACUUAGAUACUAGGUUGUCAUCCCUAGCAUGGCGCCAGAGUGUACAAAGGUAUUUAUAAAUGUAAAGGCUCUCUAGAAAAUAAUCUAUUCUAUCCGCAAGCGCACAGAUAAAACACCUCAUUGUAGCAUUUCACCAGGAUAAGUAUUCCAGGUAUCGUUAUUUAUAAUUUUGCUCUAGGGAUCUAAAGAAGAUGGAAUUAAAUCAAGGGACAAAAUCUAUCAAGGCAUAGACUAGAGAUAAACUUGCAAGAACAUGAUUACUAAUGAGAAACUCGUCACACAGUCACUUACUUUAGCAGGGGGUAAACCAUAAAGAUAAUGAUAAUAAAGUAUACGUUCGGGGAUAAAGAGCACAGCGAUUAGAAAAUAGACUACUCCUCAUAUAUGUAGGUGAUGUCGGAUUAGCUAGAGAAUGGAUUCUAAGUUAUCUACUAACUACUAGGUCAUAAUCUACUCUAGUUAUCUACAAGAUCAUAUAUAGCAUAAAAGACUCUUCAUUCAUGUAUAAGGAACAUUGAUAAAGUAAAUCAGAACAUCGCAUGACUUACUCCACAAUACCGGUUCUGCCUGUCCUAUCAACGGAGGGUCGACUAUAUAAGAAUCAACGAAGCUGUCACUAUCGCGAACUACCACACGACUCGGCCAAUAGGAUACAUUUGCAGAUAAAUAACAUCUAAGCACCACGCUCACAUGUGAUCUAUCACUUAACUCCCUCGCGACAAGAGCUAAGCGCUUUGCAAACUUAUACAUAAACCCAUUAUCAAUUAGAACUAUAUCAAAUAUAGAACUAGAGCAAACUAAGAACAUAAUAAUUAGAGACAUAAUGCAAUUAGAACAAUAGAAUUAGAGAAAGAUAUGAAUAAUACCAAUCUUUAUUACCGAAGAUCCGAAUCCAGAGCGUAGUGCUCUACUUCUCUAAUUGCUAUCUAAUCAACCUCUAAACUUGAAGGAUUAGGGAGUAGCUAAUUCUAAUUCUCUGUGGGAGAGAAGCUCUAAACCCUAACUUUGAUGGCUACCUCUGAAUAAUGAUUUCUCCUCUCCUCCAGGGGCCAGGGGGUCUGGUUUUAUAGUCCCCUCAAGUGAACGUGAGCCAUUGGAUCAAACCAACAUAGAUUGUAUGGUUUAGAUUGAUCCUUUAGGUCGAUGGAGCGUAGUCCCGAAGCAGAGUCCUG